GACGAACGCUGGCGGCGUGCUUAACACAUGCAAGUCGAACGAAAAUACCAAGCUUGCUUGGUUGAUUAGUGGCGAACGGGUGAGUAACACGUGAGUAACCUGCCCCUUACUUUCCUGGAUAACUGCUCGAAAGGGUAGCUAAUACGGGAUAUUCUGACCUGCCUGCAUGGGUUGGUUUGGAAAGGUUAUUUUUUUCUGGUAAGGGAUGGGCUCGCGGCCUAUCAGCUUGUUGGUGGGGUGAUGGCCUACCAAGGCUUUGACGGGUAGCCGGCCUGAGAGGGUGGACGGUCACACUGGGACUGAGAUACGGCCCAGACUCCUACGGGAGGCAGCAGUGGGGAAUAUUGCACAAUGGGCGCAAGCCUGAUGCAGCGACGCCGCGUGAGGGAUGAAGGCCUUCGGGUUGUAAACCUCUUUCGUCAGGGAACAAGGCACUGUCUUUUUGGUGGUGUUGAGGGUACCUGGAUAAGAAGCGCCGGCUAACUACGUGCCAGCAGCCGCGGUAAUACGUAGGGCGCAAGCGUUGGCCGGAAUUAUUGGGCGUAAAGAGCUCGUGGGCGGCUGGUCGCGUCUGUCGUGAAAACUUCCGGCUCACCCGGGGGCUUGCUGUGGGUCGGGCCGGCUAGAUGCGGUAGGGAGAAUGUGGAACUCCUGUGUAGUUUGGAAUGCUCAUAUAUCAAGAAAAACAUGUUUGUGGAAUGUUGGUUAUUGUGUCUUUUUGACGUUAUUGGUGUAUGCUGGUGAGUGACCAGGAUUUUAUACCUUGGAGUGCAGUGUGAAUUCCUUUUGGAUGUUGCCUUAUCUGUGCUGUGGGCUGAAGGGGGGACCAAAAAGAUAAUAUAAAAAUAAUAGAGUGUUUGUGUGAUGCUCGCUAUGAUUUGUUUGU
Molecule: ribosomal RNA, 886 nt
Filed under: uncultured Enterobacteriaceae bacterium
Lineage: Bacteria; Pseudomonadati; Pseudomonadota; Gammaproteobacteria; Enterobacterales; Enterobacteriaceae
Description: bacterial SSU rRNA
Rfam family: Bacterial small subunit ribosomal RNA
Source: RNAcentral